RNAcentral lists this ribosomal RNA (200 nucleotides) under uncultured bacterium. RNAcentral describes it as "partial 16S ribosomal RNA". It matches the Rfam family "Bacterial small subunit ribosomal RNA", at positions 524 to 723 of the family's 1533-position model. The record is from RNAcentral.
UACGGAGGGUGCAAGCGUUAUCCGGAAUUACUGGGUUUAAAGGGUCCGCAGGCGGGCUGAUAAGUCAGUGGUGAAAUCCUACGGCUCAACCGUAGAACUGCCAUUGAUACUGUUAGACUUGAAUACAGUUGGAGUAGGCGGAAUGUGUAGUGUAGCGGUGAAAUGCUUAGAUAUUACACAGAACACCGAUAGCGAAGGCA